Molecule: ribosomal RNA, 491 nt
Filed under: uncultured bacterium
Lineage: Bacteria
Description: partial 16S ribosomal RNA
Rfam family: Bacterial small subunit ribosomal RNA
Source: RNAcentral
AGUGAACGCUGGCGGUAGGCCUAACACAUGCAAGUCGAACGGCAGCACAGUAAGAGCUUGCUCUUACGGGUGGCGAGUGGCGGACGGGUGAGGAAUACAUCGGAAUCUACUUUUUCGUGGGGGAUAACGUAGGGAAACUUACGCUAAUACCGCAUACGACCUACGGGUGAAAGCAGGGGAUCUUCGGACCUUGCGCGAUUGAAUGAGCCGAUGUCGGAUUAGCUAGUUGGCGGGGUAAAGGCCCACCAAGGCGACGAUCCGUAGCUGGUCUGAGAGGAUGGUCGCCCACACGGGAACUGGGCAACGGUCAAGAUCCUAAGGGAAGGCAGCAGUGGGGAAUAUUGGCCAAUGGGGGCAAGCCUGCUCCACCCCUCCCGCGUGGGUGAAGAAGGCCUUCGGGUGGUAAAGCCCUUUUGUUGGGAAAGAAAAACAGCAGGUUAAUACCGCGCUGUUCUGACGGUACCAAAAGAAUAAGCACCGGCUAACUUCGU